Molecule: ribosomal RNA, 501 nt
Filed under: uncultured bacterium
Lineage: Bacteria
Description: partial 16S ribosomal RNA
Rfam family: Bacterial small subunit ribosomal RNA
Source: RNAcentral
GACGAACGCUGGCGGCGUGCUUAACACAUGCAAGUCGAACGGUGAAGGGGUCUGCUUUUGUGGGCCCUGGAUGAGUGGCGAACGGGUGAGUAACACGUGAGUAACCUGCCCCCUUCUUCUGGAUAACCGCAUGAAAGUGUGGCUAAUACGGGAUAUUCUGGGUCUGUCGCAUGAUGGGUCUGGGAAAGAUUGCGCCUUUGGGUGUUUUUGGUGGGGGAUGGGCUCGCGGCCUAUCAGCUUGUUGGUGGGGUGAUGGCCUACCAAGGCGGUGACGGGUAGCCGGACUGAGAGGGUGGACGGUCACACUGGGACUGAGACACGGCCCAGACUCCUACGGGAGGCAGCAGUGGGGAAUAUUGCACAAUGGGCGCAAGCCUGAUGCAGCGACGCCGCGUGAGGGAUGGAGGCCUUCGGGUUGUAAACCUCUUUCGCCAGUGAAGCAGGCCUGCUCCUUGUGGUGGGUUGACGGUAGCUGGAUAAGAAGCGCCGGCUAACUACGUG